This 205-nucleotide long non-coding RNA is filed under the name Salvia miltiorrhiza (redroot sage). Its description in RNAcentral is "long non-coding RNA (SMIL_LNC000210)". Lineage: Eukaryota; Viridiplantae; Streptophyta; Magnoliopsida; Lamiales; Lamiaceae. The record is from RNAcentral.
GUGGGGAUUUUUUAAGCGGAGUUUGAAGUUUAGAUUUCGAUAUGUCAAAACUGAUGAUCAAAUUUGUAAAAGAUGAUGCUGCAAUAAGGCCUUUUUUUUUUCUUUUCCGAACCGAUAGGAUAGAAUUAUCAAAAUAAUGAAAAUAUAUGCAUUGAUUUGCAGUUUAUCAUAACAACAGUAUUAUUACGAAGAAUUUCAAAUAUUG